UAAAAACUGCAAUUACUUUC
RNAcentral lists this microRNA (20 nucleotides) under Homo sapiens (human). RNAcentral's name for it is "hsa-miR-548x-3p". Its record names the gene hsa-miR-548x-3p. Lineage: Eukaryota; Metazoa; Chordata; Mammalia; Primates; Hominidae. The record is from miRBase by way of RNAcentral.